CUGGCCUAUGAAGUGGGAACCUACUCAUUUGUGUGUAUGUGGUGGGGAGCAGACAGAAAGGAAGUAAUAUGCAGUUGCAGCAGUCAAGAAGGAUCAAAGACUAGCAAUUUUCAUCAGGAAAAAGAGUGAAGGAGCCAUCCUAAAUGUGAACCAGACCAGUGCACUUAGACACCAGGUCAAAACACUUGAGCGCAUGAUUUGAACAGGCCUGACCCCAGUAACGACAGCAGGUCACAAGGUCAGUGAGGUGACGGAUUUUGUUCUGUGGUCAAAGGGAACUCGCUGCAGCCUCUCUUGAGGCAGUCUC
Molecule: long non-coding RNA, 307 nt
Organism: Dromaius novaehollandiae (emu)
Lineage: Eukaryota; Metazoa; Chordata; Aves; Casuariiformes; Dromaiidae
Exons: 3
Source: RefSeq, a predicted model, not a curated record